Molecule: ribosomal RNA, 275 nt
Filed under: uncultured bacterium
Lineage: Bacteria
Description: partial 16S ribosomal RNA
Rfam family: Bacterial small subunit ribosomal RNA
Source: RNAcentral
GCGUGAGUGAAGAAGGCCUUAGGGUUGUAAAGCUCUUUCAGCGGGGAAGAUGAUGACGGUACCCGCAGAAGAAGCCCCGGCUAACUCCGUGCCAGCAGCCGCGGUAAUACGGAGGGGGCUAGCGUUGUUCGGAAUUACUGGGCGUAAAGCGCACGUAGGCGGUGGCGCAUGUCAGAUGUGAAAGCCCCGGGCUUAACCUGGGAAUUGCAUUUGAAACUGCGUCGCUAGAGGCCGGAAGAGGGUAGUGGAAUUCCCAGUGUAGAGGUGAAAUUCGU